This 73-nucleotide transfer RNA is filed under the name Solirubrobacterales bacterium. RNAcentral describes it as "tRNA-Thr". It matches the Rfam family "tRNA". Rfam says of the family: Transfer RNA (tRNA) molecules are approximately 80 nucleotides in length. Their secondary structure includes four short double-helical elements and three loops (D, anti-codon, and T loops). Further hydrogen bonds mediate the characteristic L-shaped molecular structure. tRNAs have two regions of fundamental functional importance: the anti-codon, which is responsible for specific mRNA codon recognition, and the 3' end, to which the tRNAs corresponding amino acid is attached (by aminoacyl-tRNA synthetases). tRNAs cope with the degeneracy of the genetic code in two manners: having more than one tRNA (with a specific anti-codon) for a particular amino acid; and 'wobble' base-pairing, i.e. permitting non-standard base-pairing at the 3rd anti-codon position. The record is from RNAcentral. Lineage: Bacteria; Bacillati; Actinomycetota; Thermoleophilia; Solirubrobacterales.
GCCGGAGUAGCUCAGCUGGUAGAGCAGCUGAUUUGUAAUCAGCAGGCCAGGGGUUCGAGUCCCCUCUCCGGCU